UACAAUUAAAUUUCACAAAAU
RNAcentral lists this non-coding RNA (21 nucleotides) under Caenorhabditis elegans. Lineage: Eukaryota; Metazoa; Nematoda; Chromadorea; Rhabditida; Rhabditidae. The record is from RNAcentral.